UAUUCCCAUGUCAAAUGAUGGGAAUCUUAUAUUCCCAUGGGAAUAUAAAAUAACCAAGCAUAACUUCCCACUCUCAUGUUAUUUUAACACAUUUAUUUUUAAUUUUUUAAUUUUUAAAAUUUAAUUAAAUAAAACUUAAAAAUAUUCCUAGGAACUUUAUUGAUUUUGCCAAACACAUUGAUGAGAAUAAAGUUCCUGGCAAUACUAUUCCUAGGAAUGAUAUUCCCGGGAUUAUAAUUUUAAUCCAUCAAAAAAAAAUAUUCCUAGGAACUUUAUUGAUUUUGCCAAACACAUUGAUGAGAAUAAAGUUCCUGGCAAUACUAUUCCUAGGAAUGAUAUUCCCGGGAUUAUAAUUUUAAUCCAUCAAACAAACACACCCU
Molecule: long non-coding RNA, 380 nt
Filed under: Lathyrus oleraceus (garden pea)
Lineage: Eukaryota; Viridiplantae; Streptophyta; Magnoliopsida; Fabales; Fabaceae
Description: Pisum sativum (pea) long non-coding RNA (PSAT_LNC022866)
Source: RNAcentral